AAGGUUGGAGCCCUUAUAAGAAGAGGAAGACACAUCAGGUCUCUCUGCAAGCACACAGACUAAGUAAGGAGAGGUUACAGGAGCACGCAAUGAGAAGGCAGCUCUCUGCAAGCCAGGAAAAGAGCCCUCGCCAUAAAUCAAAUCGACUGGCACCUUAAUCUUGAACUUCCAGUCUCCAGAGCUGUUGGGUUAUCUCAGAAGCAGAACCUGAGACAAGAAAGUGAGUGGAAGCAGUUUAUUUGGGAGAAAGUCCCAGGAAGCACUGGUAGGAUGACAUUAAUGGUGUAAUUUGCUAUAAAGAAAGAGGCUGAAAAAUUUACUCCUGGGGAGUUAAAAACAGAAGGUGCACAGAGAGGUGUGUGAGAUAUAAAUUGCCUUGCAUAUAAAGGGCUCACUUGGCAGAGGAUUGCUGGGGGAGAGAUACAAUCCUCACAGCCUGAAACUCAACUCUCAAAACUCCUCACUUCAGCCUUGACCUCCAGAGCACCCAUUUCUUCCAACCGCUUGUAGAACUUUCUCUUUCAUCUGCUUCAACGCUCAGAGUUUUCAGCGGCAUUGACAAACAGUAGGAAUCAGGACUAAUGGCCAUAAACCUUGAUGGCAAUGACAUUCGGAUUCCCCUGGGAACCAAGGCCUGCACCUGGCACUUCAGUGCAAGAAGCAAAGAAGUACAAAAGAGCCUUUCACCCCGGAUUCUUUUUCCCCAUUCUGAAAAAGGGAUGCCUGGGAUGUGGGGAACUUUCCUCUUCCACAACAAAAGCUGUAAACUUAAACCCA
Molecule: long non-coding RNA, 777 nt
Organism: Pan troglodytes (chimpanzee)
Lineage: Eukaryota; Metazoa; Chordata; Mammalia; Primates; Hominidae
Exons: 3
Source: RefSeq, a predicted model, not a curated record